This 355-nucleotide ribosomal RNA is filed under the name uncultured Streptococcus sp. Its description in RNAcentral is "bacterial SSU rRNA". It matches the Rfam family "Bacterial small subunit ribosomal RNA", at positions 1026 to 1382 of the family's 1533-position model. The record is from RNAcentral. Lineage: Bacteria; Bacillati; Bacillota; Bacilli; Lactobacillales; Streptococcaceae.
CAUCGGUGACAGGUGGUGCCAUGGUUGUCGUCAGCUCGUGUCGUGAGAUGUUGGUUAAGUCCCGCAACGAGCGCAACCCCUAUUGUUAGUUGCCAUCAUUCAGUUGGGCACUCUAGCGAGACUGCCGGUAAUAAACCGGAGGAAGGUGGGGAUGACGUCAAAUCAUCAUGCCCCUUAUGACCUGGGCUACACACGUGCUACAAUGGUUGGUACAACGAGUUGCGAGUCGGUGACGGCGAGCUAAUCUCUUAAAGCCAAUCUCAGUUCGGAUUGUAGGCUGCAACUCGCCUACAUGAAGUCGGAAUCGCUAGUAAUCGCGGAUCAGCACGCCGCGGUGAAUACGUUCCCGGGCCUU